CCCCAAACGAGAAACAACUCCGAAACUGAGCAGUAGCAGCCUAUCUGAAACUUGCAUGUCUGUCAGCUGUGAUCAUGUGAGCGGUCAGCUGAUCAGCCACCACACAUCCUGAUCCGCUGCUACUGUUUACAAUCGCACAGAGCAAACCGCCUCGACAUGAUGAGCAGCCCUGCCUGAUCUGUGACAGGUCCUGGUUGCUUCCUGUUCCCUCGGCCCCGGGUUCGCUGCCUCUCCUCUGGCCCCUUGUCUCUGGAGCAUGUGACUGGCUGGCUGUGGAGGCUCUGGGCUCUGGCUGUCAACUCCAGCAGAGACAUCUGAACCUGAGAUCACACGGCUCUACAAAUCUGAUCGGGGAACAUCUAUCACUCAGAUGCCAGAGACAGAAGGAAAAAAAACAACCCUCAUUCUCUUGAGGUUAGGUUAUUGUAGUAGUUAAAAUGAUAUCGAUAAACCUUGCAGCCCU
This 463-nucleotide long non-coding RNA is filed under the name Neogobius melanostomus (round goby). RNAcentral's name for it is "lncRNA (ENSNMLG00000018587.1)". The record is from RNAcentral. Lineage: Eukaryota; Metazoa; Chordata; Actinopteri; Gobiiformes; Gobiidae.